Molecule: ribosomal RNA, 219 nt
Filed under: uncultured bacterium
Lineage: Bacteria
Description: partial 16S ribosomal RNA
Rfam family: Bacterial small subunit ribosomal RNA
Source: RNAcentral
UACAGAGGAGCCAAGCGUUGUCCGGAUUGACUGGGCGUAAAGCGCACGCAGGCGGUUGCGCGCGUGGGGUGUGAAAUCUGGCCGCUUAACGGCCAGGCGCCAUCCCAUACGGCGCGACUGGAGUGAUGCAGAGGUCGAUGGAAUUGCCGGUGUAGUGGUGAAAUGCGUAGAGAUCGGCAGGAACACCCAGGGGGAAACCAGUCGACUGGGCAUCUACUG